AAACUUUCAACAAAGGAUCUCUUGGCUCUCGCAUCGAUGAAGAACGCAGCGAAGCGCGAAAUGUAGUGUGAAUCGCAGAAAAUUGUGAAUCAUCGAAUCUUUGAACGCACAUUGCGCCUCCUUUCCGGGAGGCAUGCCUGUCUGAGCGUCGUUU
This 154-nucleotide ribosomal RNA is filed under the name Ascomycota sp. UP605. RNAcentral's name for it is "5.8S ribosomal RNA". It matches the Rfam family "5.8S ribosomal RNA". Rfam says of the family: 5.8S ribosomal RNA (5.8S rRNA) is a component of the large subunit of the eukaryotic ribosome. It is transcribed by RNA polymerase I as part of the 45S precursor that also contains 18S and 28S rRNA. The record is from RNAcentral. RNAcentral also lists the same sequence under 2 other names. Lineage: Eukaryota; Fungi; Ascomycota.